Molecule: ribosomal RNA, 2903 nt
Filed under: Escherichia coli O157:H7 str. EC4115
Lineage: Bacteria; Pseudomonadati; Pseudomonadota; Gammaproteobacteria; Enterobacterales; Enterobacteriaceae
Description: bacterial LSU rRNA
Rfam family: Bacterial large subunit ribosomal RNA
Source: RNAcentral
GGUUAAGCGACUAAGCGUACACGGUGGAUGCCCUGGCAGUCAGAGGCGAUGAAGGACGUGCUAAUCUGCGAUAAGCGUCGGUAAGGUGAUAUGAACCGUUAUAACCGGCGAUUUCCGAAUGGGGAAACCCAGUGUGAUUCGUCACACUAUCAUUAACUGAAUCCAUAGGUUAAUGAGGCGAACCGGGGGAACUGAAACAUCUAAGUACCCCGAGGAAAAGAAAUCAACCGAGAUUCCCCCAGUAGCGGCGAGCGAACGGGGAGCAGCCCAGAGCCUGAAUCAGUGUGUGUGUUAGUGGAAGCGUCUGGAAAGGCGCGCGAUACAGGGUGACAGCCCCGUACACAAAAAUGCACAUACUGUGAGCUCGAUGAGUAGGGCGGGACACGUGGUAUCCUGUCUGAAUAUGGGGGGACCAUCCUCCAAGGCUAAAUACUCCUGACUGACCGAUAGUGAACCAGUACCGUGAGGGAAAGGCGAAAAGAACCCCGGCGAGGGGAGUGAAAAAGAACCUGAAACCGUGUACGUACAAGCAGUGGGAGCCUCUUUUAUGGGGUGACUGCGUACCUUUUGUAUAAUGGGUCAGCGACUUAUAUUCUGUAGCAAGGUUAACCGAAUAGGGGAGCCGAAGGGAAACCGAGUCUUAACCGGGCGUUAAGUUGCAGGGUAUAGACCCGAAACCCGGUGAUCUAGCCAUGGGCAGGUUGAAGGUUGGGUAACACUAACUGGAGGACCGAACCGACUAAUGUUGAAAAAUUAGCGGAUGACUUGUGGCUGGGGGUGAAAGGCCAAUCAAACCGGGAGAUAGCUGGUUCUCCCCGAAAGCUAUUUAGGUAGCGCCUCGUGAAUUCAUCUCCGGGGGUAGAGCACUGUUUCGGCAAGGGGGUCAUCCCGACUUACCAACCCGAUGCAAACUGCGAAUACCGGAGAAUGUUAUCACGGGAGACACACGGCGGGUGCUAACGUCCGUCGUGAAGAGGGAAACAACCCAGACCGCCAGCUAAGGUCCCAAAGUCAUGGUUAAGUGGGAAACGAUGUGGGAAGGCCCAGACAGCCAGGAUGUUGGCUUAGAAGCAGCCAUCAUUUAAAGAAAGCGUAAUAGCUCACUGGUCGAGUCGGCCUGCGCGGAAGAUGUAACGGGGCUAAACCAUGCACCGAAGCUGCGGCAGCGACACUGUGUGUUGUUGGGUAGGGGAGCGUUCUGUAAGCCUGUGAAGGUGUACUGUGAGGUAUGCUGGAGGUAUCAGAAGUGCGAAUGCUGACAUAAGUAACGAUAAAGCGGGUGAAAAGCCCGCUCGCCGGAAGACCAAGGGUUCCUGUCCAACGUUAAUCGGGGCAGGGUGAGUCGACCCCUAAGGCGAGGCCGAAAGGCGUAGUCGAUGGGAAACAGGUUAAUAUUCCUGUACUUGGUGUUACUGCGAAGGGGGGACGGAGAAGGCUAUGUUGGCCGGGCGACGGUUGUCCCGGUUUAAGCGUGUAGGCUGGUUUUCCAGGCAAAUCCGGAAAAUCAAGGCUGAGGCGUGAUGACGAGGCACUACGGUGCUGAAGCAACAAAUGCCCUGCUUCCAGGAAAAGCCUCUAAGCAUCAGGUAACAUCAAAUCGUACCCCAAACCGACACAGGUGGUCAGGUAGAGAAUACCAAGGCGCUUGAGAGAACUCGGGUGAAGGAACUAGGCAAAAUGGUGCCGUAACUUCGGGAGAAGGCACGCUGAUAUGUAGGUGAAGUCCCUCGCGGAUGGAGCUGAAAUCAGUCGAAGAUACCAGCUGGCUGCAACUGUUUAUUAAAAACACAGCACUGUGCAAACACGAAAGUGGACGUAUACGGUGUGACGCCUGCCCGGUGCCGGAAGGUUAAUUGAUGUGGUCAGCGCAAGCGAAGCUCUUGAUCGAAGCCCCGGUAAACGGCGGCCGUAACUAUAACGGUCCUAAGGUAGCGAAAUUCCUUGUCGGGUAAGUUCCGACCUGCACGAAUGGCGUAAUGAUGGCCAGGCUGUCUCCACCCGAGACUCAGUGAAAUUGAACUCGCUGUGAAGAUGCAGUGUACCCGCGGCAAGACGGAAAGACCCCGUGAACCUUUACUAUAGCUUGACACUGAACAUUGAGCCUUGAUGUGUAGGAUAGGUGGGAGGCUUUGAAGUGUGGACGCCAGUCUGCAUGGAGCCGACCUUGAAAUACCACCCUUUAAUGUUUGAUGUUCUAACGUGGACCCGUGAUCCGGGUUGCGGACAGUGUCUGGUGGGUAGUUUGACUGGGGCGGUCUCCUCCUAAAGAGUAACGGAGGAGCACGAAGGUUGGCUAAUCCUGGUCGGACAUCAGGAGGUUAGUGCAAUGGCAUAAGCCAGCUUGACUGCGAGCGUGACGGCGCGAGCAGGUGCGAAAGCAGGUCAUAGUGAUCCGGUGGUUCUGAAUGGAAGGGCCAUCGCUCAACGGAUAAAAGGUACUCCGGGGAUAACAGGCUGAUACCGCCCAAGAGUUCAUAUCGACGGCGGUGUUUGGCACCUCGAUGUCGGCUCAUCACAUCCUGGGGCUGAAGUAGGUCCCAAGGGUAUGGCUGUUCGCCAUUUAAAGUGGUACGCGAGCUGGGUUUAGAACGUCGUGAGACAGUUCGGUCCCUAUCUGCCGUGGGCGCUGGAGAACUGAGGGGGGCUGCUCCUAGUACGAGAGGACCGGAGUGGACGCAUCACUGGUGUUCGGGUUGUCAUGCCAAUGGCACUGCCCGGUAGCUAAAUGCGGAAGAGAUAAGUGCUGAAAGCAUCUAAGCACGAAACUUGCCCCGAGAUGAGUUCUCCCUGACCCUUUAAGGGUCCUGAAGGAACGUUGAAGACGACGACGUUGAUAGGCCGGGUGUGUAAGCGCAGCGAUGCGUUGAGCUAACCGGUACUAAUGAACCGUGAGGCUUAACCUU